This is a long non-coding RNA of Astyanax mexicanus (Mexican tetra), 744 nucleotides long. RefSeq lists it as uncharacterized. Lineage: Eukaryota; Metazoa; Chordata; Actinopteri; Characiformes; Acestrorhamphidae. The record is from RefSeq and is a predicted model, not a curated record. The transcript has 3 exons.
GAUUAUGUGAGAAUAAAACAACAAAAUAGAUCUUUUCAUCUGUAUGUUACAAAUUAAAGCUGGUUUCCCGGACUGUAAUUAGGUAAAUAUUUAUAAGUAUUCAAAGCAUGGAUAAAUAUAAUAAAAAUAUAAAAAAACUAGCAAAAAAUAUAAAUGGUGUAUUGUCUAAUAAUAGUUUGUUAUUCUGUGUCUUGCAAUGCGCUGUACAUUACUACAAGAACAAAAAUGUAUUGGAACAAUAAAAGAAAUGUAUUACCAUAAGGAGACCCUCCACUGGGGUGACCCUCUUCCACCCACCUCUUUUUUCUCAUACCCACACUUUUCCUUUUCCACCCUCUAUACCUUCCCGCUGACCACAGCAGCCCCCUCCUAGACCACGGUGCUGUGUGGCAGGCAGGUUCUUAUAGACGGCACGACUGUACGGGAUGAAGCAGAGGCCUAGCUGGAGGUGACGAGCCAGUCUGCAGUACGCAGCCAGUGCCAGGACCAGGAGUGGGGUGACGAGGAGGAAGCCCACCACUAACAGCGCCACACAUCCCCCAUCGCUGAGCAGGUCCGAGCAGUAGGCGAUUUUUCCGUGUGGGCGCACCUUGUGAAGGAAGAAGAAGAGUGUGCUCAGAUACCAGUGAAGUAGAAAAAAAGAGGAUGCAGUGAUGAGACAGAGAGAAGACAUCAAAAGGAGUAUGACGCGAAGAAAGGAUUCUCCGUUUAUUUGUGACAGAAUAAAGUAUGCAGAAAUACAGA